GACGAACGCUGGCGGCGUGCUUAACACAUGCAAGUCGAACGGAAAGGCCCUGCUUUUGUGGGGUGCUCGAUUGGCGAACGGGUGAGUAACACGUGAGUAACCUGCCCUUGACUUUGGGAUAACUUCAGGAAACUGGGGCUAAUACCGGAUAGGAGCUCCUGCUCCAUGGUGGGGGUUGGAAAGUUUCGGCUGUUGGGGAUGGACUCGCGGCUUAUCAGCUUGUUUGUGGGGUAGUGGCUUACCAAGGCUUUGACGGGUAGCCGGCCUGGGAGGGUGACCGGCCACAUGGGGACUGCGGUACGGACCAGACUCGAACGGGAGGCAGUAGUCGGGAAUAUUGCACAAUGGGCGGAAGCCUGAUGCAGCAGCGCCGCGUGCGGAAUGACGGCCUUCGGGUUGUGAACCGCUUUCGCCUGUGACGAAGCGUGAGUGACGGUAAUGGGUAAAGAAGCACCGGCUAACUACGUG
RNAcentral lists this ribosomal RNA (468 nucleotides) under uncultured bacterium. RNAcentral's name for it is "partial 16S ribosomal RNA". It matches the Rfam family "Bacterial small subunit ribosomal RNA", at positions 28 to 507 of the family's 1533-position model. The record is from RNAcentral.